Molecule: non-coding RNA, 28 nt
Filed under: Mus musculus (house mouse)
Lineage: Eukaryota; Metazoa; Chordata; Mammalia; Rodentia; Muridae
Source: RNAcentral
UAUAACAGGAAACAAAGUUCUAUAAGUA